ACAGAGCUGCAGCCCAUUCUUCCUGGAAGCGCCUGCAUCAGAGCCAAGGACAGGCCACCUAGUAGCAGUGUCCCUGGAGCCUGGUGCUUGGCUCAGUACAUUAAAAUGCAACAACCAGGCCGGGUACAGCAGUUCAUGCCUGUAAUCCCAGCAUUUUGGGAGGCUGAGGUGGGCGGAUCACUUGAGGUCAGGAGUUCGAGACCAGCCUGGCCAACAUGGCGAAAUCCCAUCUCUACUAAAAAUACAAAAAUUAGCUGGGCGUGGUGGCCUGUGCCUAUAGUCCCAGCUACUUGGGAGGCUGAGGCAGGAGAAUCACUUGAACCUGGGAGGCAGAGGUUGCAGUGAGCCGAGAUCGCGCCACUACACUCCAGCCUGGGCGACAGAGCGGGGCUCCAUCUCAAAAAAUAUAUACGUAUUUCACAGAUACAGUCCUUCCUCGUUUUGGUAAUUGACAGAGCAUAAGCAGUUUUUAAUUUUUUCAAAUUUACAAUUAGGCUCCUGCACGGCAACUCUCUUCCUGUGAACUGAAGGGAAACUUGGAGUCUCCCUCUCCACAGGGUUCUCGUCUUCUGGAAAAGAGAAGAUGGGAAAAUGCGGAUAAGAAGAGGGUUAGAGGGGAGGAAAGAAAUAAAAACCGAGCAAUUUCUAGAAAACAUGAUGAUUAAAAAAAAACCAUCCACGCUUUUGGAAUGGACGGAUUCUUUAACACCUGUGGAUUUCCUUAUUCUGUGACUAGCAAGCUCCCAAGCCCACAGGUAGGAAGCUUCAGCCAGUGUGUGUGGAAAAAACGCCGGUUUUGGGAUACGACGGACAAGUCAGAAGCCUGCUUGAACCGCCGUCACCCCUUUGCAGCCAUCCAACACCACGAACAGCAAAAACAUCAGGUUCUGGCAACCUGUGGGGACAAAGUGACCAUCAGCACGGGGAGGUCGCUGUCAGAGCCGCGUCACAGCUCUUACGCCUCCCAGAAUGGUUUUUGGUGUGAGGAUUGCUGCAUGGAUUGAGAAGGUGGAAUUUGAUUGGAAUAACUGGAUCAUCUCACGGAUGGCUGAAUCCUAAAAUGCCUACAAAGCGUGAAACUGACUCAGGAUUUCACAGAGGAUGUAGAAGCUGGAUUUCACCAUGUU
RNAcentral lists this long non-coding RNA (1127 nucleotides) under Homo sapiens (human). RNAcentral's name for it is "HSALNT0384272". Lineage: Eukaryota; Metazoa; Chordata; Mammalia; Primates; Hominidae. The record is from RNAcentral.